Molecule: long non-coding RNA, 4160 nt
Filed under: Salmo salar (Atlantic salmon)
Lineage: Eukaryota; Metazoa; Chordata; Actinopteri; Salmoniformes; Salmonidae
Description: lncRNA (ENSSSAG00000109393.1)
Source: RNAcentral
UAGCCCUAUUUCAUUAUAAACAACAAUAUAACUCUGUUUAGAGGUGACCUAGCCCUAUUUCAUUAUAAACAACAAUAUAACUCUGUUUAGAGGUGACCUAGCCCUAUUUCAUUAUAAACAACAAUAUAACUCUGUUUGGAGUUGACCUAGCCCUAUUUCAUUAUAAACAACAAUAUAACUCUGUUUAGAGGUGACCUAGCCCUAUUUCAUUAUAAACAACAAUAUAACUCUGUUUAGAGGUGACCUAGCCCUAUUUCAUUAUAAACAAAAGUUGAACUUAGAGAACUUAGUCACUUUUACUUUUAUUGUAAAUUAUUUAACUUGUACUUUUAUUUUUACACUUGUACUUUUAUUGUAUAUUAUUUAACUUUUACUUUUAUUAUGAAAGUAGUGCUUUAAUUGUAAAUUAUUUAACUUUUAAUUUGAUUGUAAAUUAUUAAACUCUUACUUUUAUUAUUUAAAUUGUACUUUUAUUGUAAAUUAUUUCACUUAAUUUUAUUGUAAAUUAUUAAACUUACUUUUAUUAAUUAAAUUGUACUUUAUCGUAAAUUAUUUAACUAACUUUUAUUGUUAAUUAUUUAAAUUUGAAUUUAUUGUAAAUGUAUUGUAAAUUACUUUCAACUGUUAUCAUUUUCCAAUGUACUUUUCCAUGUAUUGUAUAUAUUGUUUACUUUCUAUAAAUGUGUUAUUUUUUUCCAGUUUACUUUGCUAUGUAUAUUCUUUUCAAAUGUAUUAUUAUUAUCUAUGAUUGUGUAUAAUAUUUUUUGUAGCGAUUCUGAAUGCAAUCGACCAGCAUGACGUUCACCUCUCUGUACCUGCAAUCGAGGCAAUGUAACCAUAGAAAAAUAAUUACAAGAACAGUAUUCCUGUUCAUUCUCCCCUGUUCUGAUGGGCUUUUUCCCAGAAAUCUAGAAAUCAUAUAUCUAUGAACGUUAAAAGAAAAAAUCCACUUUUCCUCAGCUGUCCUCUGAAUGUUUGACAGGUGAUUUAACUUUGUAUCAUAUUUUCUUAGCUGCUAUCAAUAGACAUUCAUUUGCUUUUUCAAAAUAUAUAUUUUUGCACUCCUGCAUUUGCAUGACUAUGAUGCACCAACACUUAUAAGUCAGUUGCUUAAGCACCUUAAAUUAAAGUAAAAAAAAGCUGUUAAUUUAUUGUAUCAAAUGAACACAUAUAGAGAAUCAGAGUUUAUAUUAUAAUCAUCAUCAGAAAAUAACCACAUACAGUCAGUACAUCCAUGUAUAGUCAAGAAUAUUUUAUUUCUUUUUUUAUACAUAUCACUGUUGCUAUUGUCAGAAUACACUGUCCAACACAUCAGUUAAAAACAUGAUUUGCUAAAUAUUAAUUUGUUUCCUCAUAUACAGUGCCUUCAGAAUGUAUUCACAGCCAUUUACUUUUUCCACAUUUCGUUGUGUUACAGCCUGAAUUAAACAUGGAUUAAAUUUAGAUUUUGUGUCCCUGGCCUACACACAAUACCCCAUAAUGUCAAAGUAGAAUUGUUUUUAGAAUUUUUUACAAAUGAAUUAAAAAUGAAAAGCUCAAAUGUCUUGAGUCAAUAAGUAUUCAACCCCUUUGUUAUGGUAAGCCUAAAUAAGUUCAGGAUUAAACAUUUGCUUAACAAGUCACAUAAUAAGUUGCAUUGAUUCAUCUGCGUGCAAUAAUAGUGUUUCAGAUGAUUUUUGAACGACUACCUCAUCUCUGUACCCCACACAUACAAUUAUCUCUAAUGUCCUUCAGUCCAGCAGUGAAUUUCAAACACAUAUUCAACCACAAAGAUCAGGGAGGUUUUCCAAUUCCUCGCAAAGAAGGGCACCUAUUGGUAGAUUGGUAAAACUAUAAAAGCAGACAUUGAAUAUCCCUUUGAGCAUGGUGAACUUAUUAAUUACACUUUGGAUGCUGUAUCAAUACACCCAGUCACUACAAAUAUCCAGGCGUCCUUCAGUUGCCAGAAAGGAAGGAAAACUGCUCAGCGAUUUCACCAUGAGGCCGAUGGUGACUUCAAAACAGUUAUAGAGUUUAAAGGAUGUGGAUAGGUGAAAACUGAGGAUGGAUCAACAACAUUGUAGUUACCCCACAAUACUGACCUAAAUGACAGGGUGAAAAGAAGGAAGCCUGUACAGAUUAACAAAUAUUACAAAACAUCCUGUUCACAGGAGGUUGGUGGCACCAUAAUUGACAAAGCGUUAUGUCUGGGGCAAAUCCAACACAACACAUCACUGAAUAGCACUCUUCAUAUUUUCAAGCAGAGUGGUAGUUGCAUCAUGUUAUGGGUAUGCUUGUAAUCGUUAAGGUCUAGAGAGUGUUUUAGGAUAAAAAGAAGCAGAAUAGAGCUAAGCAGAGGCGAAAUCCUAGCGGAAAACCUGGUUCAGUCUGCUUACCAACAGACAGUGGAGACAAAUGCACUUUUCAGCAGGACAAUAACCUAAAACACAAAUCCAAAUAUACACUGGAGUUACUUACCAAGACAACAUUGAAUGUUCCUGAGUGGCCGACUUGUAAUUUUGACUUAAAUCUGCCUUAAGAUCUAUGGCAAAACUUGAAAAUGGCUGUAUAGCAAAGACUAACAACCAACUUGACAGACCUCCAAGAAUGUAAGAAUUUUAAAAAGAAUAAUGUGCAAAUAUUGUACUAUCCAGGUGUGCAAAUCUCUUAGAGACUUACCCAGAAAGACUCACAGCUGUAAUCGCUGUAAUCGCUGAAUACUUAUGUAAAUUUGAUAUUUCUGUAUUUCAUUUUCAAUACAUUUGUAAAAAUGUCUAAAAAACAUGUUUUCACUUUGUAAUUAUGGUGUAUUGUGUGUCGAUGUGUGAGAAAAACAUCUAUGUAAUACAUUUUGAGUUCAGUCUGUAACACAACAACAUGUGGAAUAAGUCAAGGGGUAUGAACACUUUCUGAAGGCUCUGUAAAUACAAGACACAGUCUCAUCAUACAUUUACACAUUUGAUCAUUCUUUUGAGGAUUGUUUUGUUUUGGGACUGAUUGGCUGAGGAAUGGUCAAACAUUUUCCCUUUGAUGUGAUUGGACUGAAAACACCUUCCCUUCGAUGUGGUUGGUCAUUUGAAAUCUAUGCAUGUCGUAAUCAUGACUACAGCAUCCAUCUUGAACAGUGUCCAAAGGAGAUAUUGAUUAUGAGUGUUUUUUAGUGUUGAGUCUGCAUUAAUCAGAGCUUACCUGUGUCAAGUCUAUAAGUCAAUGAUUAGUGUCUUGGAAAACAUGUCACUAUUCUGUCCAACAACAAAAUAGUUUCUUAUUUCAUCAUGAUUGAUCAUACAUGAUGUUUCUCAGUCAAGAUAAUGGAUUGUUGAUUGAUUGUAUAAUACCCUGAUUGAUGUACGAGGCUGACUUUUCUUCCAAAGACAUGUUGUAAAGAAGAGCAUUUUGUUGCAUUGUGUUUUCAUAUGUCAUCAUAAUGCUUAUUAGUGUUUCUGGGACGGACGCAGCGAAACCUUUCUUGGUGAAGCUUAAGGCCUAGAUUCAAUCAGAUCAAGAGUUAACGGGCGAUAGCAGACACCCGCAUAGCUGAUGUUUUGGAGGUGUCGCUGUAAAGCUGAAUUUAAGCUGAAUUUCCACAAUGCGGAUUAAAUAGGAGCCCAAAGACUGGAAAUUGGAAUCUGGGUGGAAAUAUUGUUUUGUUGAUAUUAUUUUAGAACUCACCUGGUUAAAAAGGAUGAAUAAAAAUAUAUAAAUACAAAGAUCAAAUAAUCUGGUGGGUCACAUGGAAAUGAGAAUGAUUUUAGUUGUUGCAGCACACAAAAAAAAUGUUUUUGCACCUUCAGGGGGCGGUUUCCCAGACACAGAUUAAGACUACUCCUGGACUAAAUAGCAAGAUCAAUGUAGAAUCUCCAUUUAAAAAAAUGGAUUAGGAAUCUGUGUCCCUGAAACGUGUCUCUGAAUCUGUGUCCCUGAAACGUGUCUCUGAAUCUGUGUCCCUGAAACGGCCCCUAAAGGUGUUUGAUGGAAGCACAGUAGACCAUAGAUUUCCUAUCUAUAUGAUGUCAUCCAUUUGUCUAACAUGAGGUAUGUCAAUACUGAACACUGUUAUCACUUCAUCCCUAUGGAAAAGCAUAGCAGAAUAUGUAGAAAGAGAAUGAUCAUAUGAUGUAACAUAAUCAGAUUUGGAUAUCACCCUUUUUCUGUAAUAAAUCAUGGCUCUUUUAAAUCAA